This 493-nucleotide ribosomal RNA is filed under the name uncultured bacterium. RNAcentral describes it as "bacterial SSU rRNA". It matches the Rfam family "Bacterial small subunit ribosomal RNA", at positions 8 to 518 of the family's 1533-position model. The record is from RNAcentral.
AGAGUUUGAUUCUGGCUCAGGAUGAACGCUGGCGGCAUGCCUAAUACAUGCAAGUCGAACGGGAGUGCUUGCACUCCAGUGGCGAACGGGUGAGUAAUACAUAGGUAACCUGUCCUUAAGACGAGGAUAGCUUCUAGAAAUGGAAGAUAAAACUGGAUAGGACAUCACAAAUCACAUGAUUAGAUGUUUAAAAGAGCAAUCUACUUAAGGAGGGGCCUGUGGCGCAUUAGCCAGAUGGCGGGGUAAUGGCCCACCAUAGCGAUGAUGCGUAGCCGGUCUGAGAGGACGAACGGCCACAUUGGGACUGAGACACGGCCCAGACUCCUACGGGAGGCAGCAGUAGGGAAUUUUCGGCAAUGGGCGGAAGCCUGACCGAGCAAUGCCGCGUGAAUGAAGAAGUAUUUCGGUAUGUAAAGUUCUUUUAUUUGGGACGAAAAAACAAAUUGACGGUACCAAAUGAAUAAGCCCCGGCUAACUAUGUGCCAGCCGCGGC